Molecule: ribosomal RNA, 495 nt
Filed under: uncultured bacterium
Lineage: Bacteria
Description: partial 16S ribosomal RNA
Rfam family: Bacterial small subunit ribosomal RNA
Source: RNAcentral
GACGAACGCUGGCGGCGUGCCUAAUACAUGCAAGUCGAACGCUGACGGAGGAGCUUGCUUCUCUGGAUGAGUUGCGAACGGGUGAGUAACGCGUAGGUAACCUGCCUGGUAGCGGGGGAAAACUAUUGGAAACGAUAGCUAAUACCGCAUAACAGUAGAUAUCGAAUGAUAUCUACUUGAAAGGUGCAAUUGCAUCACUACCAGAUGGACCUGCGUUGUAUUAGCUAGUUGGUGAGGUAACGGCUCACCAAGGCGAAGAUACAUAGCCGAGCCGAGAAGGGGGACGGGCAACCCGGGACCUGGACCACGCCCAAGCUCCUUCCGGAAGCAGCCGGUGGGGAAUUUUGGCCAUUGACCGAAGUCUUACCCCACCACUGCGCGUUAGUGGAGGAGGGUCUCGGGGCGUUAAACUCCGUUGUUAGGGAAGGACGAGUGUGAGAGUAGAAAGUUCACACUGUGACGGUAUCUGAACAGUAAGGGCCGGCUAACUACGUG